This 1944-nucleotide long non-coding RNA is filed under the name Brassica napus (rape). RNAcentral describes it as "long non-coding RNA (BNAP_LNC004111)". The record is from RNAcentral. Lineage: Eukaryota; Viridiplantae; Streptophyta; Magnoliopsida; Brassicales; Brassicaceae.
UGGCUUGUUUCGAUUCCGCAGAAGUUACGGCGGAGAGCGGCGCUGGACCACAACCACCACCACCACAAACUAUAGUCGCAGGAAGCACAAGCAACAGCAACUGCAGCGUUGACGUGGAGGACCUCCCUGAGUUCCAUCUCAGCCCACAAGACUGUCCUCCUCAACCUUCCUCAACACCUCUGCAGUUUCACAUCAACCCUCUUCCUCCUUGUGACAAUCAAUACCAGAUUCACCAGAUGUCUCACGAUCAACUACAACAACAGCACGCUAACUGGGACAACGGUUAUCAAGACUUUGUCAACUUGGGUCCUAACUCUUCAACAACUCCUGACUUGCUUAGUCUCCUACACUUGCCUAGAUGCUCACUCCCUCAGUCUAUGCUCCCCAACUCCUUCUCAGACAUCAUGUCUUCUUCCUCCGCUGCUGCCGUCAUGUACGACCCUCUCUUCCAUCUCAACUUCCCUCUCCAGACUCGAGACCAGAGCCAGCAAAGAAACAGUUCUUGUUUUCUUGGAGUUGAAGAUCAGAUUCAGAUGGAUGCUAACGGAGGAGGAGGAGGAAUCAACAUGAUGUACUACGAAGGAGACAACAACAAUGAUGGGUUUGACAAUGGGGUUAUCGAGUUUAGCAGUGGUGGUAACAACCGUAAAGGGAGAGGAUCAGGGAAGUCCAGAACUUUCCCUACAGAACGUGAGACUGGCGUAGUGGAGGGUAACGUAUGGGCCCAUAUCCCUCAGAGAGGGCAUCGUAUUCGCAUAUAAUGACGAGAGUACCCCUUGAAGUCGUUGCAAAGACCUUUGAUACUCAGGGGUGGGACCAACAAUCUGCUGAUCUUUUGUAACCAACCUACAAUGUUUGGCCAGAAGGAGAAAUCACAUGCUCCAACUAAAACAACCCAAAAGAACACUAUUUACAUAUUUAUUUAUUUUAAAUGUCAACUUUAUUUAGCAGUAAAAAGAAAUGUUAAUUUGUUACAAUUACUAAAGUUUAAACUCGUUUAAAAACUAUGUAAUUAUAAAAGCUCAUCCAUCGAAUCUGGAUUAGAGAUAUAACUAGAUAAAACAUUUUUGUGAUUAAGAGAAAAAAACAAUAAUUUAUUUUUAAAAAUCCAUUAGCAAAAAUAAUCAUUUUUUCACCCUCCUCCUCUUCUUUGUCUCCAUCUGCAAAUGUCCGUAUAUUUGAAACACAGUGAGGGAGAGGAGAGACUUGUUUAUGAAAUUUUCUUUCUUCUCAUGAGAUCGAGAAACUCUCCAGAAGAAGUAAUCGUUUCCAGGUUCAAAAAUCUCGAGCUCCCCAAUUACUCUGUUUGUUGUCGUACUAAUCCUCUGUUUACAGUCAAACUCAAACCCUAAACCCAUUCUUAAAAUUUUGGAAUCGGACAACUUCUUUUAUGAAGCAAUUGUUUCUCCUUAAGACAAUCUAGAACUGGGUUUUGUUUCUAAGAUUGUAAAAAAGCAAACUUGUUUCCAAAUUUCUAAGUUUUUCCAAAUUGUAAAUCUUUUCUUAAAAUCUGAAUGUUGUGUUGUUGAUUUUGCAGGUGUUUAAAAGAAUCAUCUUUGACUCGUUGAACCAUCUUCAUGGAGAAUCUAAAUACUGAUUUUGUUACAAACGCAGAAGAAAGAGAAAACCUUUACGAGGAGGAGAUGGCUUGUUUCGAUUCCGCAGAAGUUACGGCGGAGAGCGGCGCUGGACCACAACCACCACCACCACAAACUAUAGUCGCAGGAAGCACAAGCAACAGCAACUGCAGCGUUGACGUGGAGGACCUCCCUGAGUUCCAUCUCAGCCCACAAGACUGUCCUCCUCAACCUUCCUCAACACCUCUGCAGUUUCACAUCAACCCUCUUCCUCCUUGUGACAAUCAAUACCAGAUUCACCAGAUGUCUCACGAUCAACUACAACAACAGCACGCUAACUGGGACAACGGUUAUCAAGACUUUGUCA